CACAUUUGCACAGAUGCUGCUGCUAUAGUACUUUCAGGCAAGGCCAAGGCUUCUUGAAAGGCUGGUCAUGCCCCAGUGAUCAAUGAAGAACUCAGGGAUAUCCCAAAACUCAGGACUAUAAGGCACAAUGGGGGAGCAGGUACCAGGUGGCCAGCAUCCUAAAUGACUCUCAGCAGCUGCAGAGAGGACCAUAAUGGAUGGAUAUAUAGGCUGACGUAUAUCAGUUGGCUUCAGUUGUUUGGUGAUAUUCACCAGAUCUAUAUUUUGCUAUUUUAUGGAUAUUAUUUUCAAUUUCUGAGUUUUGUCUUUUCCAGAAUGCCGUACAGUUGAAAUCAUACGGUAUAUAGACUUUGCAGGUUUUUAUGCGGACAUGUUUUUUGACUCCUUUGGGCAAAUACCAAGGAGCAAGAUUGCUGGAUCAUAUGGAAAGAGGCAUUACCAUAUCAAAGCCUUUAGCCUUCUUGCAUCACGACAAAAAUUCGAACUUGGUGUUUGAAGAACAUGAAAAAUGAGGAGGAAUAAAAUAAUCAUGAGUCUCCUGGUCAUUAACUGCAUGAAGUUGAGCUGGUCACUUAAGCCAUUCCUAAUAUGUAACUUGAGAGUAUAGUAUUAGAUAUUCAGUAAAUUCCCUUCAAAAUUCAUGGUAUAGAAUGCUGGGGCCCUUCCAUUACUCCAUGCACUGGGGAAGAACUAGACUCCAAGAAAAGGCAGGCUGGCCUCUGUUUAGGUGUUGUCUGUGCUUGCAUUCCCAACGUUGACAUGAGGAAUUAUCAAUGGGUUCCGGACAUAAUCAGCCACACGGCAGAGUGAAUUCCAGGAGUGUAAAUAACAAGAGCUGCCUAUAAAUCUACCUCAGAAGACAAAGGGAAAAGCAAAACUCUGCCCAGGAAGACCUUACUUUACAAACCAGGUGACCAAAUUUCUAAAACAUCAUUCCCGUAAUCCCUGAUCAACAGAAAGGAAGCUCUGGAAGCAUGAAUGCUCAACCAUAUUUACCAGCCUUCCUGUGGUCAUUUGUCUGAGCUCCAGCUAGUGAAGUAUGAGUAGAACGGACAUGCACCACUUCCAGACCUGGCACCGGCAAACCCCCCAUGGCAACCCUCCAACCCUUUCCUCAACAACUGGACCACGCUGGAAAGGACUGAGGAUCUAGAGGAGGACAGGGCUGUAAUAUGGAAGGAGUUUGGUUUCUGAAGGACCAUGUAGCAGGCCACCUGCAGGGCGGGAACAUCUUUAAUAGGUUUGGAAUAGCAAGAAAUAAACUGGUCUUGUAUUAAACAACUAA
Molecule: long non-coding RNA, 1285 nt
Filed under: Homo sapiens (human)
Lineage: Eukaryota; Metazoa; Chordata; Mammalia; Primates; Hominidae
Description: long non-coding RNA NONHSAT152653.1
Source: RNAcentral